Molecule: ribosomal RNA, 476 nt
Filed under: uncultured bacterium
Lineage: Bacteria
Description: bacterial SSU rRNA
Rfam family: Bacterial small subunit ribosomal RNA
Source: RNAcentral
CAAGUCGAACGGCAGCGGGGGCUUCGGCCUGCCGGCGAGUGGCGAACGGGUGAGUAAUGCAUCGGAACGUGCCCAAUCGUGGGGGAUAACGCAGCGAAAGCUGUGCUAAUACCGCAUACGAUCUACGGAUGAAAGCGGGGGACUCAGCAAUGGGCCUCGCGCGAAUGGAGCGGCCGAUAUCAGAUUAGCUAGUUGGUGGGGUAAAGGCUCACCAAGGCGACGAUCUGUAGCUGGUCUGAGAGGACGACCAGCCACACUGGAACUGAGACACGGUCCAGACUCCUACGGGAGGCAGCAGUGGGGAAUUUUGGACAAUGGGCGCAAGCCUGAUCCAGCAAUGCCGCGUGCAGGAUGAAGGCCUUCGGGUUGUAAACUGCUUUUGUACGGAACGAAAAGACUCCUUCUAAUAAAGGGGGUUCAUGACGGUACCGUAAGAAUAAGCACCGGCUAACUACGUGCCAGCAGCCGCGGUAAUA